This 1443-nucleotide long non-coding RNA is filed under the name Corvus moneduloides (New Caledonian crow). RNAcentral describes it as "lncRNA (ENSCMUG00000017041.1)". The record is from RNAcentral. Lineage: Eukaryota; Metazoa; Chordata; Aves; Passeriformes; Corvidae.
CUUCGCGGCUGGGCGGCGGCGGGGCACGGCGGGGCAGCGGCCGCCCUGCCCUCGCCAGCAAGAGCUCACACGGCCAGGGAGAGCAGCCCCCGAGGGGCAGGCAGGGUCCCCGGAGCGCGGUGCCAGCCCUUACCUUGCUCCGCACCCCGCUCCGCACGCCCGGCGGCAGCAGCGCCGCGGGGCCGGGGCACGGGAUGCUGCGAGGCUCCCAGCGCCUCUCCCUCCGCCUCUCUCCCGAUCCUCAGAAAAGCCCUUCCCCCCCUCGGCCCCCCCGCCCGCCUCACUCUCUCUAGCUUUGGGGCAUUGAUAUUAUAUAUAUAUAUUUUCAUUUUUUUUCAGAAGCCAAGGGGAAGCUUGGUUGGGAGAAGCAAAGCCCUGACGCGCUUGGGGGUGGGUAGGUGGGGGGUGCGCCUGGGGGGGUUUCAGACCCUCGCACGGCAACACAGGCGGACCCAUCCCCCCCGUCUCCUCGGUCCCCAGCCGGGGGAGGCGGUCGAACCUCACCGCCUUCCACCGAUCCCGCACCGGGAACGGGCCCUGCGCGCGAUCCUCCCGCCCGGGGCAGCCUCCCGGAACCCAGCCCCGACCCCAUCCUUUCGGGGGCAGCGGGGCGGGGGCUCCCCUCCAAAUACAUACCCUGCCCGCCGGGGCUGCUUUGAGGACGCAGGAUUUUGUGCGAGCGAUCGUCUCCUUCUCCGGGAGCUCAGCCUCCCCUCCCCCCCGCCUCCCCUCCCCCGCCUCCCCCACCUCCUUUGGGGGGCCAGGAAUCCCCCACUGCCGGCCCUGCCUCCUCCCCGCCCGGCCGGAGCGGUGAUGCGCCGGGGCCGCGGCGCUGCAUGGCCCCGGUGCUCCGUGCCCGCGGCCGGGCUGCGCUGCGGCGGAGCGCGGGCUGUCCCCUCCCGCCGCGGGCGCGGGUCAGCGGGGGCGGCGCGGGGCCGCCUCCGGCGGGAGGGGAGGCUGCGUCCUCCGGCCCCGCCGAGGGGCUGCGUGGCCCGGGGCACAGCCGAGGCAGCAUCCUUGGGUAGCCUGUGUGUGCAGUCGGGAGGCAGGAACUCCGCGCCGGCUUUUCGCGGGGGGGUCCCGGUCGUCCCCAUCCUUCCCGCAGCGGUCAGGGGGAAGUUUCGCUGCGGGACUCCGGGGGGUUUCUCCGGCCAUCUCCCCGGGGCUAAGGGAGCAGCCGCCCGUCCCUUCGGCAGCGCAGGUGGUGGUGGGCGAGAAGGGCACGGGGGCGUCGUGGGGGACUCCGGAGGUCCGGUCCUGGCGGGGCACAAGGGGACACGGAGGUGGCCAAGGGAAGGUCCCUUCCCUGACAGCGCCUGGUGUAUUUCUCAGAGGCACCGAGCACGCACAGCUUCCCUCUGCUUCAAAAUCAGGCCAUCGUCGAAUCAUAAAUAUAUAAUAUUACACUCCUAUGAUAUUAUGAGUAGAGAGCAGGAGAGUUAA